CCAAUGCAAGGCCAAAUUCUUCCAUGAUACAUAUCCGCCAAGGCUAUGGCAAUUGAAGCACGAAUGAAUUUGGUGAAUUAAAGCUCUGAAAAUAGGAUGGAUCAUUCUCCUUCAAGUGAUUGAAGAUAACCUUUUCUAUGAUAGUGUCCUACCUAUUCACAUCUUCAGCCAAAGAGAAAUAAAGUUCUGAACAUCUUCCUCUACUCAGCUAUAAGCUUAGUGCUGCCUGGUACCCACUGAUUUCGGCAAACCGAGGACAAAAAUUCCUGUUACGUAGAAGAAAAGAAUCCUCUGGACCCAAUAUCUGAUGAUUGCUUCAGCACAUGUUGAGCUGGGAGU
RNAcentral lists this long non-coding RNA (339 nucleotides) under Anser brachyrhynchus (Pink-footed goose). RNAcentral describes it as "lncRNA (ENSABRG00000014129.1)". The record is from RNAcentral. Lineage: Eukaryota; Metazoa; Chordata; Aves; Anseriformes; Anatidae.